Molecule: ribosomal RNA, 889 nt
Filed under: Chloroflexi bacterium enrichment culture clone B31126
Lineage: Bacteria; Bacillati; Chloroflexota
Description: bacterial SSU rRNA
Rfam family: Bacterial small subunit ribosomal RNA
Source: RNAcentral
AGAGUUUGAUCAUGGCUCAGGAUGAACGCUGGCGGCGUGCUUGAUACAUGCAAGUCGAACGGAGAGUGUAGCAAUAUACUUUUAGUGGCGAACGGGUGAGUAACGCGUUGGUGACCUGCCCCGAAGCGAGGGAUAACAGUUCGAAAGAACUGCUAAUACCUCAUGUGAUCACCGGUUUUAGAAUCUGGUGAUUAAAGGUGAAAAUCACUUCGGGAGGGGCCUGCGUCCCAUCAGCUAGUUGGUAAGGUAAUGGCUUACCAAGGCGAUGACGGGUAGGGGACCUGAGAGGGUGGCCCCCCACAAUGGAACUGAAACACGGUCCAUACACCUACGGGUGGCAGCAGUAGGGAAUAUUGCAAAUGGGCGAAAGCCUGAUGUAGCAACGCCGCGUGUGCGAUGAAGGUCUUCGGAUUGUAAAGCACUUUUUGGAGGGAUGAGGAAGGACAGUACCUCCAGAAUAAGCCUCGGCUAACUACGUGCCAGCAGCCGCGGUAACACGUAGGAGGCAAGCGUUAUUUGGAUUUACUGGGCGUAAAGCGCGUGCAGGCGGUUUGGAAAGUUGGAUGUGAAAGCUCCUGGCUCAACUGGGAGAGGUCGUUCAAAACUUCCAGACUUGAGAGUGGUAGAGGGAGGUGGAAUUCCGGGUGUAGUGGUGAAAUGCGUAGAUAUCCGGAGGAACACCAGUGGCGAAAGCGGCCUCCUGGACCACUUCUGACGCUCAGACGCGAAAGCUAGGGUAGCAAACGGGAUUAGAGACCCCGGUAGUCCUAGCUGUAAACGAUGUGAACUUGGCGUUGGUGGGUUUAAAUCCAUCAGUGCCGAAGCUAACGCGAUAAGUUCACCGCCUGGGGACUACGGCCGCAAGGUUAAAACUCAAAUGAAUUGACGG